Molecule: ribosomal RNA, 467 nt
Filed under: Salmonella enterica
Lineage: Bacteria; Pseudomonadati; Pseudomonadota; Gammaproteobacteria; Enterobacterales; Enterobacteriaceae
Also listed under: 4 other names
Description: partial 23S ribosomal RNA
Rfam family: Bacterial large subunit ribosomal RNA
Source: RNAcentral
AGACCCGAAACCCGGUGAUCUAGCCAUGGGCAGGUUGAAGGUUGGGUAACACUAACUGGAGGACCGAACCGACUAAUGUUGAAAAAUUAGCGGAUGACCUGUGGCUGGGGGUGAAAGGCCAAUCAAACCGGGAGAUAGCUGGUUCUCCCCGAAAGCUAUUUAGGUAGCGCCUCGUGAAUUCAUCUCCGGGGGUAGAGCACUGUUUCGGCUAGGGGGCCAUCCCGGCUUACCAACCCGAUGCAAACUGCGAAUACCGGAGAAUGUUAUCACGGGAGACACACGGCGGGUGCUAACGUCCGUCGUGAAGAGGGAAACAACCCAGACCGCCAGCUAAGGUCCCAAAGUCAUGGUUAAGUGGGAAACGAUGUGGGAAGGCCCAGACAGCCAGGAUGUUGGCUUAGAAGCAGCCAUCAUUUAAAGAAAGCGUAAUAGCUCACUGGUCGAGUCGGCCUGCGCGGAAGAUGUAA